This 144-nucleotide small nucleolar RNA is filed under the name Neotoma lepida (desert woodrat). RNAcentral describes it as "Small nucleolar RNA SNORA70". It matches the Rfam family "Small nucleolar RNA SNORA70". Rfam says of the family: snoRNA U70 seems to be exclusive to mammals and is a member of the H/ACA class of snoRNA which contain H (ANANNA) and ACA box motifs. H/ACA box snoRNAs are involved in the conversion of uridines to pseudouridines (5-ribosyluracil) a constituent of structural RNAs (transfer, ribosomal, small nuclear, and small nucleolar). The record is from Rfam by way of RNAcentral. Lineage: Eukaryota; Metazoa; Chordata; Mammalia; Rodentia; Cricetidae.
GAACAAUUAAUAAAGCCAGUUAUUAAGAUUCAAAUGUACUCCCGAGGGGGGCCUGGUAUGCAAUGGUUGCAAACAGUAGCUUUCUUGGUAGUGUAUGUAGCCUGUUGCCUAUAUAGGUUGCCCUAAGGAACCUUGAAGACAAUU